UACGUAGGGGGCGAGCGUUGUCCGGAAUUAUUGGGCGUAAAGGGUGCGCAGGCGGGUUCAUAAGUCAGGGGUGAAAUCCCGAGGCUCAACCUCGGAACGGCCUUUGAUACUGUGGAUCUUGAGUCCGGAAGAGGUGAGUGGAACUGCGAGUGUAGAGGUGAAAUUCGUAGAUAUUCGCAAGAACACCAGUGGCGAAGGCGGCUCACUGGUCCGGAACUGACGCUCAUGCACGACAGCGUGGGGAGCAAACAGG
This 253-nucleotide ribosomal RNA is filed under the name uncultured bacterium. RNAcentral describes it as "partial 16S ribosomal RNA". It matches the Rfam family "Bacterial small subunit ribosomal RNA", at positions 524 to 776 of the family's 1533-position model. The record is from RNAcentral.